Molecule: long non-coding RNA, 1405 nt
Filed under: Nicotiana benthamiana
Lineage: Eukaryota; Viridiplantae; Streptophyta; Magnoliopsida; Solanales; Solanaceae
Description: long non-coding RNA (NBEN_LNC004867)
Source: RNAcentral
GUCUUAAGAAUUGGGUCCCUUAGCCCCUGGAUUGGUGCGCAAGCAAAAGAAGAACAAAAAAGAGGGGCCUCUGGCUUAUUAAGAAGCAUAUAAACGACAUACUAAGCAGAAGCGCGUAGACGAAGGGAGAGGGGCUUUUUCGAAAGGCUAGAAACUUAUACGUAUAUAGAUAUAGUGAGUGUGCGUGCGGGGUGUAGGUAUACCACUUACGAGAAAGAACCCCAAGUCAGUAAAGUAGUUAACCAAACACAAGUAAGAAGUUCGUCAGUCCUUCCUCCGAUACUCCCGUAGGUUGCAUCUUGAGUCUUAAGAAUUGGGUCCCUUAGCCCUUGGAUUGGUGCGCAAGCAAAAGAAGAACAAAAAAGAGGGGCCUCUGGCUUAUUAAGAAGCAUAUAAACGACAUACUAAGCAGAAGCGCGUAGACGAAGGGAGAGGGGCUUUUUCGAAAGGCUAGAAACUUAUACGUAUAUAGAUAUAGUGAGUGUCGGAGAGGGGCUUUUUUGAAAGGCUAGAAACUUAUACGUAUAUAGUGAGUGUGCGUGCGGGGUGUAGGUAUGCCACUUACGAGAAAGAACCCCAAUUCAGUAAAGUAGUUAACCAAACACAAGUAAGAAGUUCGUCAGUCCUUCCUCUGAUGGCUCUUGUUCAUUCUUCUUCAUUUCAUCAUUUUGUUGUGUUGUUCUGUUCAUAGGUCUCAAGACCUUCUUAGAAGGCCCUUUUCACUCUCCUUAAGUUAAGAAAAAAAGAAUGCUGCUUGAUUGAACGAACAUUGUAAGAACCUUCCUAACUGACACCCCAGUCAUAAUGCCACCCACGUCUUUUUUUUCUUUUGAACAAGCCUUCUAAUCCAUAUUUUUUUAUUUGAGUUCAUAAUAACUGGCGGGUUUCAUUAAUGAAAAGAAAAGCGGAGGCCCGCCAUCUGCUAGCAUUGUGGUUUUCCAUCGAUUCUUUAUCAAUGGCCCACCCUUUCUUUGAACCUUGUCAAUGAUCGAACUUAAAGAUAUGAACUGAGUGCCAUUUGAUGAGUAACUGAGAACAAAGGAGAGGGAUAUGGAAAGAAUGAAGUAAUGACUCAAUGAUCGAACUUAAAUAUAUAAACUGAAUGUCAUCUGUUGAGUAACUGAGAACAAAGGAGAGGGAUAUGGAAAGAAUGAAGUAAUGAAAGAGGAAGUCAUUGCUAGUAGUAACGACUUGUCACGAUCCAUUGGUUCAUAUAGAAUCCAUGUCCUAGGUGUAUCAAAAAACAUUCUUUUCGCUAAGCGUAUAUAAUAAAAUAGAGUGAAAAGGUCCACCCCGAAACCAAGGGGGUACGUAUCAAAAAACAUUGUUUUCGCUAAGCAUAUGUAAUAAAAUAGAGUGAAAAGGUCCACCCCGAGACCAAGGGGGUACUAACUAACAGCUGAGU